AGUGAACGCUGGCGGUAGGCCUAACACAUGCAAGUCGAACGGCAGCACAGUAAGAGCUUGCUCUUACGGGUGGCGAGUGACGGACGGGUGAGGAAUACAUCGGAAUCUACUUUUUCGUGGGGGAUAACGUAGGGAAACUUACGCUAAUACCGCAUACGACCUACGGGUGAAAGCAGGGGAUCUUCGGACCUUGCGCGAUUGAAUGAGCCGAUGUCGGAUUAGCUAGUUGGCGGGGUAAAGGCCCACCAAGGCGACGAUCCGUAGCUGGUCUGAGAGGAUGAUCAGCCACACUGGAACUGAGAAACGGUCCAGACUCCUACGGGAGGCAGCAGUGGGGAAUAUUGGACAAUGGGCGCAAGCCUGAUCCAGCCAUACCGCGUGGGUGAAGAAGGCCUUCGGGUUGUAAAGCCCUUUUGUUGGGAAAGAAAAGCAGCAGGUUAAUACCCCGCUGUUCUGACGGUACCCAAAGAAUAAGCACCGGCUAACUUCGUG
RNAcentral lists this ribosomal RNA (492 nucleotides) under uncultured bacterium. RNAcentral describes it as "partial 16S ribosomal RNA". It matches the Rfam family "Bacterial small subunit ribosomal RNA", at positions 29 to 507 of the family's 1533-position model. The record is from RNAcentral.